This 591-nucleotide ribosomal RNA is filed under the name Staphylococcus aureus. RNAcentral describes it as "partial 23S ribosomal RNA". It matches the Rfam family "Bacterial large subunit ribosomal RNA", at positions 1578 to 2170 of the family's 2925-position model. Lineage: Bacteria; Bacillati; Bacillota; Bacilli; Caryophanales; Staphylococcaceae. The record is from RNAcentral.
UUGUGUCUUCGAGUCGUUGAUUUCACACUGCCGAGAAAAGCCUCUAGAUAGAAAAUAGGUGCCCGUACCGCAAACCGACACAGGUAGUCAAGAUGAGAAUUCUAAGGUGAGCGAGCGAACUCUCGUUAAGGAACUCGGCAAAAUGACCCCGUAACUUCGGGAGAAGGGGUGCUCUUUAGGGUUAACGCCCAGAAGAGCCGCAGUGAAUAGGCCCAAGCGACUGUUUAUCAAAAACACAGGUCUCUGCUAAACCGUAAGGUGAUGUAUAGGGGCUGACGCCUGCCCGGUGCUGGAAGGUUAAGAGGAGUGGUUAGCUUCUGCGAAGCUACGAAUCGAAGCCCCAGUAAACGGCGGCCGUAACUAUAACGGUCCUAAGGUAGCGAAAUUCCUUGUCGGGUAAGUUCCGACCCGCACGAAAGGCGUAACGAUUUGGGCACUGUCUCAACGAGAGACUCGGUGAAAUCAUAGUACCUGUGAAGAUGCAGGUUACCCGCGACAGGACGGAAAGACCCCGUGGAGCUUUACUGUAGCCUGAUAUUGAAAUUCGGCACAGCUUGUACAGGAUAGGUAGGAGCCUUUGAAACGUGAGCG